AAAAGGGGGGCAACUCCCUGAGUAAAGCGGCGCACGGGUGAGUAACACGUAGGUAAUCUCCCCUCGAGCCUGGAAUAACCUACCGAAAGGUGGGCUAAUACCGGAUAUGACCACGGAAGUUUCGGCUUCUGCGGUGAAAGAUGGCCUCUAUUUAUAAGCUAUCACUCAAGGAUGAGCCUGCGUGCCAUUAGCUAGUUGGUGGGGUAAUGGCCCACCAAGGCUAUGAUGGCUAGCUGGUCUGAGAGGAUGGCCAGCCACACUGGGACUGAAACACGGCCCAGACUCCUACGGGAGGCAGCAGUGGGGGAUAUUGCGCAAUGGGCGAAAGCCUGACGCAGCGACGCCGCGUGGGUGAUGAAGGCCUUCGGGUCGUAAAGCCCUGUCGAGGGGAAAGAAUCGAUUGCGACCUAAUACGUCGUGAUCCUGACGGUACCCCUAAAGGAAGCACCGGCUAACUCCGUGCCAGCAGCCGCGGUAAUACGGAGGGUGCGAGCGUUGUUCGGAAUCACUGGGCGUAAAGCGCGUGUAGGCGGCCCACUAAGUCUGAUGUGAAAGCCCGGGGCUCACCCCCGGAAGUGCAUUGGAAACUGGUGGACUCGAGUCCCGGAGAGGAGAGUGGAAUUCCUGGUGUAGCGGUGAAAUGCGUAGAUAUCAGGAGGAACACCGGUGGCGAAGGCGGCUCUCUGGACGGUGACUGACGCUGAGACGCGAAAGCGUGGGGAGCAAACAGGAUUAGAUACCCUGGUAGUCCACGCCGUAAACGAUGAGCACUAGGUGUCGCGGGUAUUGACCCCUGCGGUGCCGACGCUAACGCAUUAAGUGCUCCGCCUGGGGAAUACGGCCGCAAGGUUAAAACUC
RNAcentral lists this ribosomal RNA (858 nucleotides) under uncultured delta proteobacterium. RNAcentral's name for it is "bacterial SSU rRNA". It matches the Rfam family "Bacterial small subunit ribosomal RNA", at positions 70 to 902 of the family's 1533-position model. Lineage: Bacteria; Deltaproteobacteria. The record is from RNAcentral.